AACAGGAUUAGAUACCCUGGUAGUCCACGCCGUAAACGAUGUCGACUUGGAGGUUGUGCCCUUGAGGCGUGGCUUCCGGAGCUAACGCGUUAAGUCGACCGCCUGGGGAGUACGGCCGCAAGGUUAAAACUCAAAUGAAUUGACGGGGGCCCGCACAAGCGGUGGAGCAUGUGGUUUAAUUCGAUGCAACGCGAAGAACCUUACCUACUCUUGACAUCCAGAGAACUUAGCGGAGAUGCUUUGGUGCCUUCGGGAACUCUGAGACAGGUGCUGCAUGGCUGUCGUCAGCUCGUGUUGUGAAAUGUUGGGUUAAGUCCCGCAACGAGCGCAACCCUUAUCCUUUGUUGCCAGCGGUUCGGCCGGGAACUCAAAGGAGACUGCCAGUGAUAAACUGGAGGAAGGUGGGGAUGACGUCAAGUCAUCAUGGCCCUUACGAGUAGGGCUACACACGUGCUACAAUGGCAUACACAAAGAGAAGCGACCUCGCGAGAGCAAGCGGACCUCAUAAAGUAUGUCGUAGUCCGGAUUGGAGUCUGCAACUCGACUCCAUGAAGUCGGAAUCGCUAGUAAUCGUGGAUCAGAAUGCCACGGUGGAUACGUUCCCGGGCCUUGUACACACCGCCCGUCACACCAUGGGAGUGGGUUGCAAAAGAAGUAGGUAGCUUAACCUUCGGGAGGGCGCUUACCACUUUGUGAUUCAUGACUGGGGUGAAGUCGUAACAAGGUAACC
This 730-nucleotide ribosomal RNA is filed under the name uncultured bacterium. RNAcentral's name for it is "bacterial SSU rRNA". It matches the Rfam family "Bacterial small subunit ribosomal RNA", at positions 771 to 1501 of the family's 1533-position model. The record is from RNAcentral.